This 75-nucleotide transfer RNA is filed under the name Bacillota bacterium. RNAcentral's name for it is "tRNA-Trp". It matches the Rfam family "tRNA". From Rfam's summary of the family: Transfer RNA (tRNA) molecules are approximately 80 nucleotides in length. Their secondary structure includes four short double-helical elements and three loops (D, anti-codon, and T loops). Further hydrogen bonds mediate the characteristic L-shaped molecular structure. tRNAs have two regions of fundamental functional importance: the anti-codon, which is responsible for specific mRNA codon recognition, and the 3' end, to which the tRNAs corresponding amino acid is attached (by aminoacyl-tRNA synthetases). tRNAs cope with the degeneracy of the genetic code in two manners: having more than one tRNA (with a specific anti-codon) for a particular amino acid; and 'wobble' base-pairing, i.e. permitting non-standard base-pairing at the 3rd anti-codon position. Lineage: Bacteria; Bacillati; Bacillota. The record is from RNAcentral.
AAGUCGAUGAUGUAAUUGGUAACAUGUCGGUCUCCAAAACCGUUUAUCUGGGUUCAAGUCCUAGUCGAUUUGCCA